Long non-coding RNA from Daphnia magna, 804 nucleotides. RefSeq lists it as uncharacterized. Lineage: Eukaryota; Metazoa; Arthropoda; Branchiopoda; Diplostraca; Daphniidae. The transcript has 2 exons. The record is from RefSeq and is a predicted model, not a curated record.
GACGACAGCGUCGUAAUGUGGUAGAAAAAUAAAGCAGUUUUUCACCACCCAUCGGGCAUUCAAACAAAAGUUAGGUCAGGUGUCAGGAUUUCUACCAUUUUGAAUGGUCUUUUGAAUCCAGAUUAUCGCCGAAACAACAUAUAAGUAUUCACCAGGUUUGAUCAUUUCACUAACAGUUGAAUCUGUCAUCUACCACCUGAUAUAUUUCUGGAAUGGUGUCGUUCAGAGAUCAUUUACUCGUUCGACUACAAGUUUAACAUACACACUGGUUAACAUGCUAUCUUUUUCCAAGACUUUUGUAUAGUUUCAGAAUGAGAUAGGAGGUCAUCUAUUUAAAAGCUAUUGUUUUGCUGCGAAUUAAAACAAAAGUAUGCUGUAUGCCACAUUAAAGGUGAGUUUUUUUUAAUUUCUUUGAAAUUACUAUUACCUACUUUAGUGUAACUUGUAUUUUGCAAUGAAUGAACAAUUGGAGGUCAUGGUAAGGAGCUUCUUAUGUUUAUGAUGAGAUAUCACUCUGAAUUAUAAUGGUAUGUUGAAACAAUACUUUAAGGUCAAGCAGCCUGGUGCCAUACUGUACACCGUUAGCUGAAUUCCCGAAACCUCAAGUAUAUAAACGUACUACCAGUGCUUCCAGUUCUUAUAUUUUAAAAAAUUUUCAUCAACUUUUGAGGCAGAAAACCUUUGUUACUUUUAUCUGAAUGCAUCACAUCGGAAUUUUUUUAUCAACUGCAUACUAAACAAACCAAAUUGCGUGCGUGCGUGCCGAGAUAAGAAAUGUAAUACAUAAAAUAAUUGUAUUUCAAA